GACGAACGCUGGCGGCGUGCUUAACACAUGCAAGUCGAACGGAAAGGCCCUGCUUUUGUGGGGUGCUCGAGUGGCGAACGGGUGAGUAACACGUGAGUAACCUGCCCUUGACUUUGGGAUAACUUCAGGAAACUGGGGCUAAUACCGGAUAGGAGCUCCUGCUGCAUGGUGGGGGUUGGAAAGUUUCGGCGGUUGGGGAUGGACUCGCGGCUUAUCAGCUUGUUGGUGGGGUAGUGGCUUACCAAGGCUUUGACGGGUAGCCGGCCUGAGAGGGUGACCGGCCACAUUGGGACUGAGAUACGGCCCAGACUCCUACGGGAGGCAGCAGUGGGGAAUAUUGCACAAUGGGCGGAAGCCUGAUGCAGCAACGCCGCGUGCGGGAUGACGGCCUUCGGGUUGUAAACCGCUUUCGCCUGUGACGAAGCGUGAGUGACGGUAAUGGGUAAAGAAGCACCGGCUAACUACGUGCCAGCAGCCGCGGUGAUACGUAGGGUGCGAGCGUUGUCCGGAUUUAUUGGGCGUAAAGGGCUCGUAGGUGGUUGAUCGCGUCGGAAGUGUAAUCUUGGGGCUUAACCCUGAGCGUGCUUUCGAUACGGGUUGACUUGAGGAAGGUAGGGGAGAACGGAAUUCUUGGUGGAGCGGUGGAAUGCGCAGAUAUCAGGAGGAACACCAGUGGCGAAGGCGGUUCUCUGGGCCUUUCCUGACGCUGAGGAGCGAAAGCGUGGGGAGCGAACAGGCUUAGAUACCCUGGUAGUCCACGCUGUAAACGGUGGGUACUAGGUGUGGGGUCCAUUCCACGGGUUCCGUGCCGUAGCUAACGCUUUAAGUACCCCGCCUGGGGAGUACGGCCGCAAGGCUAAAACUCAAAGGAAUUGACGGGGCCCCGCACAAGCGGCGGAGCAUGCGGAUUAAUUCGAUGCAACGCGUAGAACCUUACCUGGGUUUGACAUGGAUCGGGAGCGCUCAGAGAUGGGUGUGCCUCUUUUGGGGUCGGUUCACAGGUGGUGCAUGGCUGUCGUCAGCUCGUGUCGUGAGAUGUUGGGUUAAGUCCCGCAACGAGCGCAACCCUUGUUCACUGUUGCCAGCACGUUAUGGUGGGGACUCAGUGGAGACCGCCGGGGUCAACUCGGAGGAAGGUGGGGAUGACGUCAAGUCAUCAUGCCCCUUAUGUCCAGGGCUUCACGCAUGCUACAAUGGCUGGUACAGAGAGUGGCGAGCCUGUGAGGGUGAGCGAAUCUCGGAAAGCCGGUCUCAGUUCGGAUUGGGGUCUGCAACUCGACCUCAUGAAGUCGGAGUCGCUAGUAAUCGCAGAUCAGCAACGCUGCGGUGAAUACGUUCCCGGG
RNAcentral lists this ribosomal RNA (1343 nucleotides) under uncultured bacterium. RNAcentral describes it as "16S ribosomal RNA". It matches the Rfam family "Bacterial small subunit ribosomal RNA", at positions 28 to 1378 of the family's 1533-position model. The record is from RNAcentral.